UACUGUCAUUAGUAUGUAUGGAAAAUCUGUUCUUAUCAGUCCAUAUGAUACUUUUUAGGUUUUUCAACAACAGGAAACAAUCAGUUACUACCUACAUUGGAAAUACAGGGAGAGCUGGAGAUAAAAGUGGGUGGCCAAGAUUUUAAGUGGCACUUAAUCAAUGAGAGUCCUUGAAGCAACCAUCCUUCAUCUGAUUAAAAUCUGACACAAAAACAGGACAAUGGUUCACAUAAAGCAGCGGUCAUGAUGUCGUCUGAUUGACUCCAGUGAAGUAACAGCAAUAAUGUUGUCCAAAGUAAUGCUGGCCUUCAUCUUGAUCCUUCUCAUCCUCCUGACUGUCGCUGGUAAUGUACUUGUGUGCCUGGCUGUCUGUGCCUCUCGACGUCUCCGCUGCCUCACUAACUGUUUCAUUUUGUCGCUGGCUGUGACAGACCUGCUGCUCGGCCUCUUAGUCCUCCCUUUCUCUGCUCUCCUACAGCUAAAUGAAGAGUGGCCACUUGGCGCAGUCUUCUGCAACUUCUAUAUCUCCAUGGAUGUUAUGUUGUGCACUGCCUCCAUCCUCACCCUCCUGGCAAUCAGUGUCGAUCGCUACCUGGCAGUGACCAUGCCUCUGAGAUAUGCAUCACUGGUGUUACCGUGGAGAGUUGCUGUAGCCAUGGCGAGUGUCUGGACUGUGUCUCUGGCCGUGUCUUUCUUGCCCAUCCAAAUGGGAUGGAACACCGUUAACGGGACAGUGCAGAACCACGGGCCUUGGGCUUCGGAGGGGAAAUGUCGUUUUGAACUGAACAGACCGUAUGUGCUUACUGACUCUCUCCUCACCUUCUACCUGCCUCUGGUGGCUAUGUGCUGGACCUACCUCAGAAUACUUCGCAUUGCACGUGCACAGGCCAAGCGCAUUGUCAGUGAACGGCCCACUUGCAUCACCAGCUACAACUGCAGGAGCAAUUCUUCCACUACCACCACUGUGAUUUCCAGCAUUACAGUUGUGGCACUGCGGGAGCACAAAGCCACAGUGACACUGGCAGCAGUGAUUGGGGCUUUUGUGGUGUGCUGGUUACCUUAUUUCAUCCUAUUCACAGUGCUGGGCUUACAGGAGCAUCCAGACCCUGGCACAGUGCCAGAAUAUUCCAUUGUGCUGUGGCUAGGCUAUGCCAACUCAGCCCUAAAUCCAAUCCUCUACGGAGCCCUCAACAGGGACUUCAGGUCAGCCUAUACCCAUCUACUGAGAUGCCAAUGCCCUAUGUACAGCAGGUGGAGGAGCCAGCAGAUAUCCCCUUCUGUAUCAGCAGGUAAAGCUGUUCAAACCAGAGACCAGCUUACAGAGGUAACGCUGCUGUGCGGCCACACCCCUGCCACCUGCAGAGCAGGUCUAACACAUCAAAACGUCAUGCUUCAAGAAAUGAACAGCAGGACAGCCACAACAUCUAUCCAAUUUGCAAAUGGCACUGCUACCACAGAUGUCAGUGGUGAUGGAAGUGAACCCAGGUUGUGCUGAGCUUGUGCUUGUGAGGUGGAUGGUGUGCUUACAAAACAACCCAGAACAGGAAUCCAUCAGGUCGAUGACAAAAGGGCAACAAACAGACAAAAGAUAGACAAAGAUGUACAACCCCUUCUAUUUGGAAGCAUCCAGUAUCACAGUAGAAACAUCCAUAGUACAUUAUCUAUUUCCUCCACAGGACCCGUCCUACCUCCUGAAACUUUUAUGUGUAGCCCCGUAUGUAUGUAUACAUUACCAACGGUGAGUGAAUAGACGAGCAAACCUUUGCUCCUUUUCAUUUGUGUCUUUAUGAAUACAAAGAUAAGGAUCUCUGCAACUCUACGCCUCAAUCGGUAAGAAUCAACUGCACAUGCACAGCCAGCUCAGUCCACCCAGGACCAAACAAAUGAGGCUGCUUCU
Molecule: RNA transcript, 1897 nt
Organism: Pundamilia nyererei
Lineage: Eukaryota; Metazoa; Chordata; Actinopteri; Cichliformes; Cichlidae
Gene: hrh2a
Gene name: histamine receptor H2a
Exons: 4
Source: RefSeq, a predicted model, not a curated record